RNAcentral lists this ribosomal RNA (482 nucleotides) under uncultured bacterium. RNAcentral describes it as "SSU rRNA". It matches the Rfam family "Bacterial small subunit ribosomal RNA", at positions 26 to 521 of the family's 1533-position model. The record is from RNAcentral.
AGGAUGAACGCUGGCGGCGUGCUUAACACAUGCAAGUCGAACGAUGAAGCGGAGCUUGCUCUGUGGAUUAGUGGCGAACGGGUGAGUAACACGUGAGUAACCUGCCCUUGACUCUGGGAUAAGCACUGGAAACGGUGUCUAAUACCGGAUACGAGCUUCAGCCGCAUGGCUAGGAGUUGGAAAGAAUUUCGGUCAAGGAUGGACUCGCGGCCUAUCAGGUAGUUGGUGAGGUAAUGGCCCACCAAGCCUACGACGGGUAGCCGGCCUGAGAGGGUGACCGGCCACACUGGGACUGAGACACGGCCCAGACUCCUACGGGAGGCAGCAGUGGGGAAUAUUGCACAAUGGGCGCAAGCCUGAUGCAGCAACGCCGCGUGAGGGACGACGGCCUUCGGGUUGUAAACCUCGUUUUAGUAGGGAAGAAGCGAAAGUGACGGUACCUGCAGAAAAGCACCGGCUAACUACGCGCCAGCAGCCGCGGU